CUGAUUAACUGGUUUCUAAAGAACGGAAUUCAAAGCUUGCUAAUGGAAGUUAAGUUAAGCUACUGAUCAAAACACAACUAGCAAUUCUAAACUCAGUAGCACGAGCUGCAAGUAAGAAAAUGCAACAGCCGGCUUUACAACCUUAAACACCCAAGACUUAACUUGUCGUAACUCCCGAUCGACUCCGUUCCUCUCCUGCUGACCACCGUAGCUACCAGCGAAACUUGAUCACCGUGAUGAGUGUUGAUGCUCCAGCUCCAAUCGUGCGAAUGCCUUCUCAUUUGCACACCCAGCUUGUCGUGUUGAUCUCGGUAGAAAACGCAAGGUCCUCGUUGGUAGAAGAUGUGAAUUUAUACUGUAAGAUCUUUCUUUGUGUUCACGCUGAGAUGCCAUACAACCCCCUGAUCUUCUCGUCCACGCACUCCUUCUCUUCAACGCAGUCGACCGCCGAAC
RNAcentral lists this long non-coding RNA (453 nucleotides) under Linum usitatissimum (flax). Its description in RNAcentral is "long non-coding RNA (LUSI_LNC003120)". The record is from RNAcentral. Lineage: Eukaryota; Viridiplantae; Streptophyta; Magnoliopsida; Malpighiales; Linaceae.